AGCAAACCGACCCUUCACCUCCUUACCUGCUCCCCUUAUCAGCUAGCUGCCUUCUGACCCUGGAGGGAGGAACUCUGGCUCCUAUUCCAUAGAUGAGGGAACUGAGGCUCAGAGAAGCUUCACACCAACUCCUGUCCUCCAAGGGAAGGCAGCAGGGAUCGUGGUGAUGUUCUGGGAAUGGGUGUGGCUGUUCCCAGGGAAUGGGGAUCCUCCCAUCCCAGCAAAGGACUAUCCAGCUGCACUCAGACCUCCUGGAUUCAAAUCUGUACAAUUAGACCCUUAGACCCUCUGUGCUUCAGUUUCCCCAACUGGAGAUAAUAGCAAGGCCAACCUCAUCUGGUUGUUGUGAGGAUUAAAUCCAUCACCUAAUGAGAAGCUUCCUGAAGGGGCUCAGCCCAACAUCCCCCGCCCAUCUCUGGGAGGACCCCCAGAUGGCAUCAGCCACAACAUUGCUCGGAAAAUGUCUCCCGUCCACAGGUCCCUCCUGACCAGCUCUUCUCCCCAACAAGAUCGUGUGCCCCUUGGGAAGCCACCUGGUCAGGUAGGCACUGCCAUGAGCCCCUGUUACAGGAGAGAACUGAGGCUCCCAGCCGGGCAGGGCUCACUCGAGGUCUAC
Molecule: long non-coding RNA, 616 nt
Filed under: Homo sapiens (human)
Lineage: Eukaryota; Metazoa; Chordata; Mammalia; Primates; Hominidae
Source: RNAcentral